AUGGCUGUCGUCAGCUCGUGUUGUGAAAUGUUGGGUUAAGUCCCGCAACCGAGCGCAACCCUUAUCCUUGUUGCCAGCGGUCCGGCCCGGGGAACUCAAAGGAGACUGCCAGUGAUAAACUGGAGGAAGUGGGGAUGACGUCAAGUCAUCAUGGCCCUUACGACCAGGGCUACACACGUGCUACAAUGGCGCAUACAAAGAGAAGCGACCUCGCGAGAGCAAGCGGACCUCAUAAAGUGCGUCGUAGUCCGGAUUGGAGUCUGCAACUCGACUCCAUGAAGCCGGAAUCGCUAGUAAUCGUGGAUCAGAAUGCCACGGUGAAUACGUUCCCGGGCCUU
RNAcentral lists this ribosomal RNA (338 nucleotides) under uncultured Enterobacteriaceae bacterium. Its description in RNAcentral is "bacterial SSU rRNA". It matches the Rfam family "Bacterial small subunit ribosomal RNA", at positions 1045 to 1382 of the family's 1533-position model. The record is from RNAcentral. Lineage: Bacteria; Pseudomonadati; Pseudomonadota; Gammaproteobacteria; Enterobacterales; Enterobacteriaceae.